CCCAAGCCUUUUUAGGGCUUAAGGAAAUUUUUGAUUUUGUUUGAUGAGAUAAUGCCGGGGAAGGUUUUCCGGUUUACUCCGGAGGGCUUGUAGCUCAGUUGGUUAGAGCGCGCGCUUGAUAAGCGUGAGGUCGGAGGUUCAAGUCCUCCCAGGCCCACCAAUUUAUGAUGACUUAAAAUUCUUAUUGCUUUAUCAUUGGCUUAUGAGGCUGUUUCAUUUAUUUAUCAUAAUUGUUUAUCACGUGUUUGAUACUUUCAGGCGUUUUUUAAAGUUUUUGUCUGUUUAAAGUUUUAAGCUCUUUUACCCUAUUUAGGGGCCGUAGCUCAGCUGGGAGAGCACCUGCUUUGCAAGCA
This 353-nucleotide unclassified non-coding RNA is filed under the name Bartonella sp. RNAcentral describes it as "partial 16S-23S ribosomal RNA intergenic spacer". The stretch from base 84 to 157 matches the Rfam family "tRNA". The record is from RNAcentral. Lineage: Bacteria; Pseudomonadati; Pseudomonadota; Alphaproteobacteria; Hyphomicrobiales; Bartonellaceae.